UACGUAGGGGGCAAGCGUUGUCCGGAAUUACUGGGCGUAAAGGGCUCGUAGGCGGCCAACUAAGUCAGACGUGAAAUCCCUCGGCUUAACCGGGGAACUGCAUCUGAUACUGGAUGGCUUGAGUUCGGGAGAGGGAUGCGGAAUUCCAGGUGUAGCGGUGAAAUGCGUAGAUAUCUGGAGGAACACCGGUGGCGAAGGCGGCAUCCUGGACCAUUACUGACACUGAAAAGCGAAAGCCAGGGGAGCAAACGGG
RNAcentral lists this ribosomal RNA (253 nucleotides) under uncultured bacterium. RNAcentral describes it as "partial 16S ribosomal RNA". It matches the Rfam family "Bacterial small subunit ribosomal RNA", at positions 524 to 776 of the family's 1533-position model. The record is from RNAcentral.